RNA transcript from Hippoglossus stenolepis (Pacific halibut), 1479 nucleotides. It is a transcript of the gene named homeodomain-interacting protein kinase 1, with no coding region annotated. Lineage: Eukaryota; Metazoa; Chordata; Actinopteri; Pleuronectiformes; Pleuronectidae. The transcript has 5 exons. The record is from RefSeq and is a predicted model, not a curated record.
UCCGUCCCUUUGCAGCAUCCGAUGCAUUACAUUACAUAACACAGAGCGAGCAUCCAGGCUGCUCCGCCUGCCCCACGUAAUGCGCUCGUCGAACGGCCUGGCGUCAUAACGCACAGCGCAUCGUGCCGGCAGAAUGGAGGGAGGAGAAGCCCGCUGAGGCGAAGCUGCAUCCUGUCAGCCUCCAUCAGUCAAGCUCACCCCUCCCAUCCUCCUCCUCCUCCUCCUCCUCCUCACAUCCUCACCCAUCCUCCUCCUCACAUCCUCACCCAUCCUCACCCACAGGCUCCAGCCAACCGACGCACAGCCGGAGCAGCCUGCAGCCACACAGGGGACAGACACAGUUGCACCUACAGCACCUGACGUUCAGGCUGGCGAGUCGCUUCACAGCAGCUCUUCCUCCUAUUCAGACCUGGACUUUAUAGGGGAAUGCAGCUUUGGCAAAAUCGUCGCGUCCAUGAAUCUCAGGACCAAACAGAACGUGGCUGUGAAAAUCCUGAAGAAGGACACAGAGUUGGCCCAGGACCCUGAGCAUGAGGUAUCCAUGUUGAAACUCAUCAGUGACCUGGAUUCGGAUCGCACCAACAUGGUCAAAUUCCAUGAACAAUUUCAGCACAUGGAACAGUGUUUGAAAGGCUGGAAAUGAAUCUCUAUGACCUGCUAGAGCAGCGAGAGUGGGAGCACCUUCCUCUACAUAAGAUCCGCCCAGCUGCCAAGCAGCUCUUGGUGGCCUUGGAUGCCCUGAAGGGUCUUGGCGUCCUGCACGCGGACAUCAAACUGGACAACGUUAUGUUCGUCAACAUGCAGGAUCAGCCACUCAGGGUGAAGCUGAUUGACUUUGGCUGCGCCAUGAUGGCGUCCCAAGUCGAGCAGGGGAUGGAGAUCCAGCCGUAUGGGUACAGGUGAGUUCAUCCUGCACAGGUUUUUCAUCUUUGGCUCAUGUCUUUCCUUCUCAGGGCUCCAGAAGUAUCACUUGGUCUUCCAAUCACAGAGGCCAUCGAUGUGUGGGGGGUUGGGGUUGUACUGGCGUUCCUGUACCUGGCUCAAAACCUUUUCCCCAUAGACUGUAAAUACCAAAUGAUGAAGUGCAUGGUUACAGUGCUGGGCCAGCCGCAGGACCACCUGCUCCCUGCUGGCAAGUGAAGCCAGCAGUUCUUCAUUGAACUCACCAGGUGAACUCUCCUGGUGAACUCUCCUGGUGAACUCUCCUGGUCUCUCCUGGUGUUCUGACCUGACAAUAGUGUCCACAGACACCACCUGGUCGUCAGUCUUCCAUCACACACGUGAAGUCUCCUGGAGUUCUGACGAGGCUGUAGACGUCACCGCUGCAGCCACAGCCUCCUCUGGCGGCAAGAGAAAGCUGCUGAGAAGAAUCUGAAAAUUCUUCUCAAGCCUCACAAGCUGCUUCCGUCCAAAAGUGGAGGACUGAAUUAUUUGUAUAUUUAUUUUUUUAUUGGUGUUUUUCUAUUUUAAUCUACAUUG